UCGGCGAACGGGUGAGUAACACGUGAGCAACCUGCCCUGGACUCUGGGAUAAGCGCUGGAAACGGCGUCUAAUACUGGAUAUGAGACGUGAUCGCAUGGUCGUGUUUGGAAAGAUUUUUCGGUCUGGGAUGGGCUCGCGGCCUAUCAGCUUGUUGGUGAGGUAAUGGCUCACCAAGGCGUCGACGGGUAGCCGGCCUGAGAGGGUGACCGGCCACACUGGGACUGAGACACGGCCCAGACUCCUACGGGAGGCAGCAGUGGGGAAUAUUGCACAAUGGGCGGAAGCCUGAUGCAGCAACGCCGCGUGAGGGAUGACGGCCUUCGGGUUGUAAACCUCUUUUAGCAGGGAAGAAGCGAAAGUGACGGUACCUGCAGAAAAAGCGCCGGCUAACUACGUGCCAGCAGCCGCGGUAAUACGUAGGGCGCAAGCGUUAUCCGGAAUUAUUGGGCGUAAAGAGCUCGUAGGCGGUUUGUCGCGUCUGCUGUGAAAUCCCGAGGCUCAACCUCGGGCCUGCAGUGGGUACGGGCAGACUAGAGUGCGGUAGGGGAGAUUGGAAUUCCUGGUGUAGCGGUGGAAUGCGCAGAUAUCAGGAGGAACACCGAUGGCGAAGGCAGAUCUCUGGGCCGUAACUGACGCUGAGGAGCGAAAGGGUGGGGAGCAAACAGGCUUAGAUACCCUGGUAGUCCACCCCGUAAACGUUGGGAACUAGUUGUGGGGACCAUUCCACGGUUUCCGUGACGCAGCUAACGCAUUAAGUUCCCCGCCUGGGGAGUACGGCCGCAAGGCUAAAACUCAAAGGAAUUGACGGGGACCCGCACAAGCGGCGGAGCAUGCGGAUUAAUUCGAUGCAACGCGAAGAACCUUACCAAGGCUUGACAUAUACGAGAACGGGCCAGAAAUGGUCAACUCUUUGGACACUCGUAAACAGGUGGUGCAUGGUUGUCGUCAGCUCGUGUCGUGAGAUGUUGGGUUAAGUCCCGCAACGAGCGCAACCCUCGUUCUAUGUUGCCAGCACGUAAUGGUGGGAACUCAUGGGAUACUGCCGGGGUCAACUCGGAGGAAGGUGGGGAUGACGUCAAAUCAUCAUGCCCCUUAUGUCUUGGGCUUCACGCAUGCUACAAUGGCCGGUACAAAGGGCUGCAAUACCGUAAGGUGGAGCGAAUCCCAAAAAGCCGGUCCCAGUUCGGAUUGAGGUCUGCAACUCGACCUCAUGAAGUCGGAGUCGCUAGUAAUCGCAGAUCAGCAACGCUGCGGUGAAUACGAGCUUUCCCGGGUCUUGUACACACCGCCCGUCAAGUCAUGAA
Molecule: ribosomal RNA, 1305 nt
Filed under: Microbacterium sp.
Lineage: Bacteria; Bacillati; Actinomycetota; Actinomycetes; Micrococcales; Microbacteriaceae
Description: bacterial SSU rRNA
Rfam family: Bacterial small subunit ribosomal RNA
Source: RNAcentral